RNAcentral lists this ribosomal RNA (253 nucleotides) under uncultured bacterium. Its description in RNAcentral is "partial 16S ribosomal RNA". It matches the Rfam family "Bacterial small subunit ribosomal RNA", at positions 524 to 776 of the family's 1533-position model. The record is from RNAcentral.
UACGAAGGGGGCGAGCGUUAUUCGGAAUUACUGGGCGUAAAGGGAGCGCAGGCGGUUCAUUUAGUCAGACGUGAAAGCCCCGGGCUCAACCCGGGAGGUGCGUUUGAUACUGGUGAGCUAGAAAUCAGAAGAGGAUAGUGGAAUUCCCAGUGUAGAGGUGAAAUUCGUAGAUAUUGGGAAGAACACCAGUGGCGAAAGCGGCUAUCUGGUCUGUAUUUGACGCUGAGGCUCGAAAGCGUGGGGAGCAAACAGG